GCAUUUAUACUAGUAUAUUUUACCAGUUCUCUCUUUAAUAUGCCAUUGUUCUCAUAGAAUAUUUGUUUAGUUUACUCCUGAUAUUCUUCAACGUUAAAAAUGCGUUCACAUUGAAUUCUGUAGCAUCUCUUUUUAAUAGGUCACAUAGUCCUCAUAAUAAAGCAUGCUUCAAAAAAAAAAAACACGACUCCAUUCGUCAACUACUGAGAAUUAAUAAGAAUACAUGGCCAACAGGACAUAUCAAUCGUAUGUCAGUAAAUAAUUUAAAAUUUCAUUGUUAGUCCUGUAUGAGAAAGUAAAACAAUCCAUUUUCCACAUAACUUCAGCGAGGAAGAGUCGCUCAUCAAACAGACUGGGUUUCUCUUGUACUACAUGUAUGCGUAAUAGGAUACAAUAAUAUCUAUUAAAUAUAAUUCAUAUUCAUCGAAUGAUAUAUUGGUUUGAUAAAGAUGUCAAAACAAGUAUAAAUCAACCAUUACUUAUAUUUCCAGGAGAUGCCAAAUGUUGAAAUAGCCUUGCAGUACUUCACAAAUGAAAAAGGGACAGUUGAAUCUACAUAAAUCAAAUCUCUUGGGAACAAGGAAAUCUCUUCAACUGAAAUUAAAAUUUGACAGAAAAUAUGUGAAUAACCAGUUUUAUAUAUAUAUUUUAAAAAAUGCUUUGAUGUGUUGUAAGUUGACUUAUAAACUUUCUACAGCAGUUUGUGAGACAAAAACCAAAGCCACAGCAUUUUCCAAUUAUGUCUGAAAAGCAAGGUCUGUUAAUACUUCUCUACUGAAUCUUUCUUAUCAAAUGCAGAGGUUUAGGGGCAAAUGCACAUUAGAGAUUACUGUGAUUUCAGCUAGGUUGGAAGUAUUCUCCCAUUCUCAUAGAGACUUCUACCAUUAAUGAUAUAUCCCAUAGAAAGAAUCACAACACUGUUCGUGGAUUAACUUGCUUGAAUGAUAAAUAUCGAUUCUUAAAUUGAAAUAUCAAAUCCAAAUUAAAACUCGAAAAAUAUUGUGAAUAAACCAAAUGCAGCAGACCAAUGUACCUAUAUUUUAUCAAUAUCAUAAAACUAUCUCAAGUCGGAAAUCAGAUACUUAUCAACUAUAAAUGACAGUUGUGGUAAGGAUCACAAAAUGAGUUCAAACAGAAUUCAAUGAAAUUGCCACCUAAGUGUUUGUAUGUAUUAAUUAAACAAGAUAUGUGCUUCACGAUUCUGGUAAAAAAUCUUGAAUUGCUGGGAAAUUAGCAUAAUAACAGAGCUGCCAACAUGAAGAGUAAAAAAAAAAUUGUUAUCUAGACGCUCAAAAGUCAUAAUUUUGACAUACAAGUCAUACAAGCCAACCGGUGUGUUUGCUCAGUUGGUAGAGCGUCGGGGGUUCAAACCCCGGCCGCGUCAGACCAAAAGACGUUAAAAGAUGGGAGUUGCUGCUACCCUGUUUGGUGUUCAACAAUUAAAAGGGAUAGAGCUUCGUCGAUCUGGCCCUGCACAGCGGCUGCCGGGCCCACGAUCAAUUGGGGAAAAAAAAAAAUUCUGAGUAUUUCAUUUCUGGUGUCUAUUUCGAACAAUAAAAUAUGGAUCUUGAUAAUUUCAUUUCGCAGUAGUACAUAGUUAUCUAGAAGCUCAAAAGUCAUAAUUUUGACCUAAAAGUCAGAAUUCAUUUAGCAGUAGUAUGAAUUUCUUUUAAAUAGUUAUCGAGACGCUCAAAAGUCAUAAUUUUGACAUAUAAGUCAUAAUUUCAUUUCGUGGUAGUAUAAAUUUCUUUAGAAUAGUUAUCUCGAAGCUCAAAAGUCAUAAUUUUGACAUAAAACUCAGAAUUUCAUUUCGCUGUAGUAUAAAUUUCUUUGAAAUGGUAAUAUGAAGAACAGAUUCCUUAAAAAGAAAUGAAUUUUAAGGCGUAGAUUCAGAAUCAUAUCCGGUACUUUCUCUUUUGCAUAAAUCCAUGAAAAAUCCAAGAGCAUUAAAACCACAAGAUCGGGUCAGUAUUUAAGCAUGCGAUGAUAACAUUAAGAGCGAUGUAAACAAAGAUACACAUACACAAUCAUGGGAAUAAUGAGCAUCCUUGGCUGCCUACAGAUGGGCGACACUGCCUCAAUGCAUUACUAUAUAUAUAUAGUAUUAAAUGUUACAUAUUUGCCCAAAAGAGUAAUAAUUAUACCUUGGUCACAUUUGCUCUACGGUGGCCGUACACGAGUCGAAAACAGCCGUUUCAACAUUUUCUGUACCAGCUAUACAUAGGUGGUUUGAACGAAAAUGAAUAAAACGGCUGUUUUCAACUCGCCGUACGGCCGCAGUAGAGCGAAUGUGACCGAGGUAUAAAGGUCAAAAACAUAAUGGCAUAAUUUGACAUGAAAAUCAUAAUAUUUAUGACUUUUCUUAAUAGUUGGCAGCUCUGUAAUAAUCACGGUAUUCCAGGUAAUUGUUGGGUCUUUUCCAUGCUAUGAUUAUAAAGUGUCCAACUCUGUCCAACAUGUGCUUAUCUGUGGUGGCGACCAUCAUGAUAACAAACUUAGGUUAAUUCAAUACGGUAUAAUCAGUUGAUGACCUUUAGAAGUCUGUUUUCUAAUGAAAUCAUUGUUUGCUGCAACUUUCCACCCUUUCACACGGUAAAAUAAUCAAAAUUUGAACGAUGAUUAAAGUGAAAAAUAACGCUAAUGACAAUCACGAAUUCAAAGUCUACUCCGGAGGUGAAUUCCAGUUAAGUUUCACUCAAAUAGAUAAUACAAUUGUCAUGCACUCAUCAUAUUGUAUAUGCGAUGCAGUGCUUUGAAUUCAAAUUAAAAUCAGUUUUCGAGUGAGCGUGUGAAAGGUCCGAUGACUCUAAAGACCAACUGCAAUCAUCAUUACAAUGAUGAUUCAAGAUUCACGUGUGAAAAGGCCCUAUAUGAGAUAAGCCUUCUUUUUUCGUGGAAAGGGAUGGGGGGGCGGGGGGUGGCUUGCAUCUGCUAUAAAAAAAACCCAACAAAGAUCAUGAAGAAUGAGAGGAGAAUAUGUAGGCGCAAUGACAUCAACAACAAACCAAGAAUGUAAAGCCCUAUUGAUGAUAAAUAAAUACUAAAUGCCGCAGACGACUAUUCUUCACCAGAAUAGUUUGUCCUGGGAAAAUUACAGUUGCAUUGUCUACGA
Molecule: long non-coding RNA, 3112 nt
Organism: Lytechinus pictus (painted urchin)
Lineage: Eukaryota; Metazoa; Echinodermata; Echinoidea; Temnopleuroida; Toxopneustidae
Exons: 2
Source: RefSeq, a predicted model, not a curated record